UUAAAUUGAAGAGUUUGAUCAUGGCUCAGAUUGAACGCUGGCGGCAGGCCUAACACAUGCAAGUCGAACGGUAACAGGAAGAAGCUUGCUUCUUUGCUGACGAGUGGCGGACGGGUGAGUAAUGUCUGGGAAACUGCCUGAUGGAGGGGGAUAACUACUGGAAACGGUAGCUAAUACCGCAUAACGUCG
Molecule: ribosomal RNA, 189 nt
Filed under: Escherichia coli
Lineage: Bacteria; Pseudomonadati; Pseudomonadota; Gammaproteobacteria; Enterobacterales; Enterobacteriaceae
Description: partial 16S ribosomal RNA
Rfam family: Bacterial small subunit ribosomal RNA
Source: RNAcentral